This 468-nucleotide ribosomal RNA is filed under the name uncultured bacterium. RNAcentral describes it as "partial 16S ribosomal RNA". It matches the Rfam family "Bacterial small subunit ribosomal RNA", at positions 28 to 507 of the family's 1533-position model. The record is from RNAcentral.
GACGAACGCUGGCGGCGUGCUUAACACAUGCAAGUCGAACGGAAAGGCCCUGCUUUUGUGGGGUGCUCGAGUGGCGAACGGGUGAGUAACACGUGAGUAACCUGCCCUUGACUUUGGGAUAACUUCAGGAAACUGGGGCUAAUACCGGAUAGGAGCUCCUGCUGCAUGGUGGGGGUUGGAAAGUUUCGGCGGUUGGGGAUGGACUCGCGGCUUAUCAGCUUGUUGGUGGGGUAGUGGCUUACCAAGGCUUUGACGGGUAGCCGGCCUGAGAGGGUGACCGGCCACAUUGGGACUGGGGUGCGGCCCAGACUCCUACGGGAGGCAGCAGUGGGGAAUAUUGCACAAUGGGCGGAAGCCUGAUGCAGCAACGCCGCGUGCGGGAUGACGGCCUUCGGGUUGUAAACCGCUUUCGCCUGUGACGAAGCGUGAGUGACGGUAAUGGGUAAAGAAGCACCGGCUAACUACGUG